RNAcentral lists this unclassified non-coding RNA (347 nucleotides) under soil metagenome. RNAcentral describes it as "partial contains 5.8S ribosomal RNA, internal transcribed spacer 2, and large subunit ribosomal RNA". The stretch from base 1 to 120 matches the Rfam family "5.8S ribosomal RNA", at positions 35 to 154 of the family's 154-position model. The record is from RNAcentral.
GAUGAAGAACGCAGCGAAAUGCGAUAAGUAAUGUGAAUUGCAGAAUUCAGUGAAUCAUCGAAUCUUUGAACGCACAUUGCGCCCGCCAGUAUUCUGGCGGGCAUGCCUGUCUGAGCGUCAUUUCAACCCUCAUGCCCCUAGGGCGUGGUGUUGGGGAUCGGCCAAAGCCCGCGAGGGACGGCCGGCCCCUAAAUCUAGUGGCGGACCCGUCGUGGCCUCCUCUGCGAAGUAGUGAUAUUCCGCAUCGGAGAGCGACGAGCCCCUGCCGUUAAACCCCCAACUUUCCAAGGUUGACCUCAGAUCAGGUAGGAAUACCCGCUGAACUUAAGCAUAUCAAUAAGCGGGGA